AGAUUGAACGCUGGCGGCAGGCCUAACACAUGCAAGUCGAGCGGUAGAGAGGUGCUUGCACCUCUUGAGAGCGGCGGACGGGUGAGUAAUGCCUAGGAAUCUGCCUAGUGGUGGGGGAUAACGGUUCGGAAACGGACGCUAAUACCGCAUACGUCCUACGGGAGAAAGCGGGGGACCUUCGGGCCUCGCGCCAUUAGAUGAGCCUAGGUCGGAUUAGCUAGUUGGUGAGGUAAUGGCUCACCAAGGCGACGAUCCGUAACUGGUCUGAGAGGAUGAUCAGUCACACUGGAACUGAGACACGGUCCAGACUCCGUACGGGAGCAGUCAGGUGGGAAUAGUGGACAAGUGGCGAAAGCCUGAUCCAGCCAUACCGCGUGUGGUGAA
Molecule: ribosomal RNA, 384 nt
Filed under: uncultured soil bacterium
Lineage: Bacteria
Description: bacterial SSU rRNA
Rfam family: Bacterial small subunit ribosomal RNA
Source: RNAcentral